Molecule: ribosomal RNA, 250 nt
Filed under: uncultured bacterium
Lineage: Bacteria
Description: partial 16S ribosomal RNA
Rfam family: Bacterial small subunit ribosomal RNA
Source: RNAcentral
GGGGGAAUUUUGGACAAUGGGGGCAACCCUGAUCCAGCCAUGCCGCGUGAGUGAAGAAGGCCUUCGGGUUGUAAAGCUCUUUCGGACGGGACGAAAAGGUUAUGGUGAAUAGCCAUGACUAAUGACAGUACCGUAAUAAGAAGCACCGGCUAACUACGUGCCAGCAGCCGCGGUAAUACGUAGGGUGCGAGCGUUAAUCGGAAUUACUGGGCGUAAAGCGUGCGCAGGCGGUUCGCCAAGUCAGGUGUGA